Molecule: ribosomal RNA, 403 nt
Filed under: uncultured bacterium
Lineage: Bacteria
Description: bacterial SSU rRNA
Rfam family: Bacterial small subunit ribosomal RNA
Source: RNAcentral
UGGGGAAUCUUGCACAAUGGGCGAAAGCCUGAUGCAGCCAUGCCGCGUGAAUGAUGAAGGCCUUAGGGUUGUAAAAUUCUUUCGUCAGGGAUGAUAAUGACCGUACCUGAAGAAGGAGCCCCGGCUAACUUCGUGCCAGCAGCCGCGGUAAUACGAAGGGGGCUAGCGUUGUUCGGAAUUACUGGGCGUAAAGCGCACGUAGGCGGACUUUUAAGUCGGGUGUGAAAUCCCGGGGCUCAACCUCGGAACUGCAUUUGAAACUGGAAGUCUUGAGAUCAGGAGAGGUUAGCGGAAUACCGAGUGUAGAGGUGAAAUUCGUAGAUAUUCGGUGGAACACCAGUGGCGAAGGCGGCUAACUGGACUGAUACUGACGCUGAGGUGCGAAAGUGUGGGGAGCAAACAG